AAACAAAACCCUAAUACCUCAUUUCUCAAAAAAUCUUCCGUCGCCUCUCCACACUCUCUCUCUACAAACCCUCUCUUCUUUACCUUCUCUAUAAAACAAAACCAUUGUUGACCUCCAUCGCCGCUCCGCCUCGCCUCCCUCCAUCGCUGCUCCGCAUCUCUCCGUUCAUCCCCCAACAGCAGCUGCCCAGCGCCCCUACCGGCUCUCCUUCUCAAACAGCCACCGCCGCCGUUCUCUCUUUCACCGGUGAGCUCCUCUCUCGCCACCAAUUGUUGCUGCAGCCAGCUCUACAAUCAAGCCUAUUCCAGCCCAAUGCCAUUCUGACAAGCACCAUUUUCUAAUCCUUUGUUUCUUCAUUUUUAACAUAUUUUUUUAUCUGAAAUUGACAAAAUUUGACUGAAGUUCUUGUUUGAUUUCUUCUUAUUUGGAUUUUUUUACAUCUUUAGAUUGUUAUGUAUGAAAACCCCAAAAUUUAUGAGCUAUGAUCAACCCUAGACGCAGAAGGAGCUGAAUAAGUAACUGAAAGUGAAAAAAAUUAGUCUUUCUAGGCUUAUUAAAACUAAAGUAAAGGAGAAUAAUAUGAAGAAUAGGCUCACAUAUAUUACACUAGGUUGAGGGAUCUUAUACAAUUAUAGUGUUGCUCUAAAUGGUAGAAUUUGACUGACUUGGGAUCAAAAUUGGUAUGAAGUACAUAUUCUUGGCACCUCUCCUCCACUACUACAUUGUAUGAUUAUAGAUAGAUGCAAAGACCACCUGGUUGUACUCACUGUCAUGUAUGGUUUUAAUACAUAGAUCAGAGGAAGUAUUUAGCAGGAUCUUCAGUUACACCAGUAGAAAUUAGAGACUUUACUGAGUGUGUGUAGAAUAUCGGAGUUACUAAACUGCCCUGGAAGGGAUAAUACUACACCUGAACUAAUUAGAAACAUUGAAUGGACAGAAUUUCUAGUAAGAUUGACAUAGCAUUUGGCAACUUUUCAUUUCUUAGUAAUUUUCAAUGACUUUGACUAUUCAAGAUUAUCAUAAGAAUGUAAAAGUGUCAUUUAAAUUCUUCAAUGUGUGAUCUUACAUCUUUCUUGACCAUGGUGGAUACUAUAUCAGUAGUUUGUUCCUUGUCAAAAAUUGUCUCAGGAGUUUUUCAUAUUUUAGAGUCUAGUUUGUCAAGCUAUCAUAUUUUAUAGUCAAGUUUGUCAAGGUGUUAUUUUUUCCUCGAAGUCCUAUCUGUUGGAAGAUUUUGUCAUUAUUUUUCUUUCUCUAUUUUCCUUCUCAUGGGUAUGUAGAUUUGCUACAGGCGGUACACAAGGUUUUAUGGAAUCUCAGAAAGGACUGUUGUAGAUUUGGUUCAUCAUUCAUUGACAAGUGGUAUCCCACGUCAAAAGAAGUUAAUGAGGCUGUAAGGGAAAGCGUUAUGAAACUUUUUACAUUUCCUUGGCACGAGUGGUGGGACAUUCCAAUAGUCUCUAAACAAGCCAUGUUUCAAGAGUUUAAGACAAUGUGUUGUUGGUUGGCAAAGCACGAUCAGACCACUUCUACAAUUUUUGAGAGACAUGCUGCUAUGUCACAUCAGAUUACACAUCUUAGACAUGCCUUGACAUAGGUCGUUGCUCCUAAUUCAAGUAGCGAAGAGAAAACACAGAGUGAUGAGGAGUUUGUUGGGGCUACUCCUUAGUGUUGUUGGACUUGACUUUUAGAUAAUUUUUAGAUAUUGUUGAACUUAGCUUUCUAUUAGUGAAAAAUCUUCAGGAGUGUAAGUAUUUUGAAUGUUGUUGAAUUCAUUGUUUAAGUGUUGUUAUUUUAAAUUGUUUUAAUGAUUUGUUGA
Capsicum annuum is the source of this 1816-nucleotide long non-coding RNA. RefSeq lists it as uncharacterized. NCBI's taxonomy places the organism in Eukaryota, Viridiplantae, Streptophyta, Magnoliopsida, Solanales, Solanaceae. The record is from RefSeq and is a predicted model, not a curated record. The transcript has 3 exons.